This 67-nucleotide transfer RNA is filed under the name Marmota monax (woodchuck). RNAcentral describes it as "tRNA.Thr". The record is from RNAcentral. Lineage: Eukaryota; Metazoa; Chordata; Mammalia; Rodentia; Sciuridae.
GGCUGGGGCUCAGUGACAGAGCCCUUGCCUUGUAUGUGUGAGGUCCUGGGUUCGAUUCUCAGCACCA